GACGAACCGUGCAAACGUUAUUCGGAAUCACUGGGCAUAAAGGGCGCGUAGGCGGCUCCAAAAGUCAGGGGUGAAAUCCGGCAGCUUAACUGUCGCAGUGCCUUUGAUACUGUGGAGCUAGAGGGAGGUAGGGGUCUGUGGAACUUCCGGUGGAGCGGUGAAAUGCGUUGAUAUCGGAAGGAACGCCGGUGGCGAAGGCGGCGAUCUGGGAAGAUACUGACGCUGAGGUGCGAAGGCGUGGGGAGCAAACAGG
Molecule: ribosomal RNA, 253 nt
Filed under: uncultured bacterium
Lineage: Bacteria
Description: partial 16S ribosomal RNA
Rfam family: Bacterial small subunit ribosomal RNA
Source: RNAcentral